UUCUCUGGUUGAUCCUGCCAGAGGUCACUGCUAUUGGGAUCCGACUAAGCCAUGCGAGUCGAGAGGGUUCGGCCCUCGGCUGACGGCUCAGUAACACGUGGAUAAUCUGCCCUAAGGUGGAGGAUAACCUCGGGAAACUGAGAAUAAUACCUCAUAGGUUAUGGAUGCUGGAAUGCUUCAUAGCCCAAAGCCCCGGCGCCUAAGGAUGACUCUGCGGACUAUCAGGUAGUAGUCAGGGUAACGACCUGACUAGCCUACGACGGAUACGGGGUGUGAGAGCACUAGCCCGGAGAUGGAUUCUGAGACACGAAUCCAGGCCCUACGGGGUGCAGCAGGCGCGAAACUUCCGCAAUGCUCGACAGAGUGACGGAGGGAUUCCAAGUGCCUAUGCUAUGCGUAGGCUGUUUUUAUGUCUAAAUAACAUGGAGAGUAAGAGCUGGGUAAGACGGGUGCCAGCCGCCGCGGUAAUACCUGCAGCUCGAGUGGUAACCGCUAUUAUUGGGCCUAAAGCGUCCGUAGCCGGUUUGGUAAAUAUCUGGGUAAAUCGUGAGGCUUAACUUCACGAAUUUCGGAUAGACUGCCAGACUUGGGAUCGGGGGAGGUCAGAGGUACUCCAGGGGGAGCGGUGAAAUGUUGUAAUCCUUGGAGGACCACCGGUAGCGAAGGCGUCUAGCCAGAACGGGUCUGACGGUGAGGGACGAAGCCCUGGGGCGCAAACGGGAUUAGAUACCCCGGUAGUCCAGGGUGUAAACGCUGCUUGCUUGAUGUUAGUCGGGCUCCGAGCCCGAUUAGUGUCGGAGAGAAGUUGUUAAGCAAGCUGCCUGGGAAGUACGGUCGCAAGACUGAAACUUAAAGGAAUUGGCGGG
Molecule: ribosomal RNA, 866 nt
Filed under: uncultured archaeon
Lineage: Archaea
Description: bacterial SSU rRNA
Rfam family: Archaeal small subunit ribosomal RNA
Source: RNAcentral